GCUCGUGUUGGGACCAGGUCGGUGAUUUUCAUGUUUUCCAUCAUGUUCGUGCAUGCGCCUUCGACCAAUUAACAUCUGCCACGUCAUAUUCCUACCUACAGCACGGGGGGGGGUUGAGAGCACGACGCUGUCGUCUAAGCCCAUGAGGGCCCCAUCAAAUUUUGGGAACGCGUGGGCCCUUCUGGCAUCGCUGACCGUUGGCAUGGGAAAGAAAAAGUUGGAAAGAUAGAUGGACCAACUCCAGGCACCAGCUGUCGGAAAUUUUCAAACUUAGAUAUCAAAUUAUGAAAUUUGCUUUUAUUAAUAUUAUUAAAAUAGAUUUCUUUUAUUAAUUGUUAAUCUAUUAUAAUGCUUCGAAAACGAUCACUUGCCUUUGUCGACGUGGCUGGG
Molecule: long non-coding RNA, 390 nt
Filed under: Citrus maxima (pomelo)
Lineage: Eukaryota; Viridiplantae; Streptophyta; Magnoliopsida; Sapindales; Rutaceae
Description: long non-coding RNA (CMAX_LNC002505)
Source: RNAcentral